This is a long non-coding RNA of Myotis davidii, 497 nucleotides long. RefSeq lists it as uncharacterized. The transcript has 2 exons. Lineage: Eukaryota; Metazoa; Chordata; Mammalia; Chiroptera; Vespertilionidae. The record is from RefSeq and is a predicted model, not a curated record.
AAGCCGGGCGGCUCCCGUUCCCGAGAUAACCCGAGCCCGGCGUUUGUCCGCGGGGAGCGCGCGUCCGGAGAGGUCGCCACCCGAGGCCCAGGCGUGCGGGAGGCAAAGAUAAAUACUCAAUGAACGGAGGAGCGCUUCCCCCCUCCCCCCUUCUUUUACCCCUUUUCUGGCCUCCACCCUAAACCCCACCCCUUCUUGGAAACAUUCUACUACUUUUUCGUCUCCCGGUUCUUUCCCCCGUUUCUUCCCAGCCACACACGCUCCACAGGCUAUUCCCUCUGCUCAGAUGGAUCAGACGGGCUUCCAAAGGGGUUUAAACAAACCGUGGAUUUGGGUAAAUGGACUGGAGUUAAGAAUUCCAGCCAAGAAGAUUCAAGCGUUGAUGUUUGGGGCGUUCAUUUCCUUCGAUGUGCCAACCUUUUCUAUUAUUUUCAUGGCUUUUAAUCUUUGAAAAUACACCAUGUGUGAAUCAUCCUAUAAAGUUCUUAUGAAAAAUU